Molecule: ribosomal RNA, 379 nt
Filed under: uncultured bacterium
Lineage: Bacteria
Description: bacterial SSU rRNA
Rfam family: Bacterial small subunit ribosomal RNA
Source: RNAcentral
UAAAACGUAGGAGACGAGCGUUAUCCGGAAUUACUGGGCGUAAAGCGCGAGUAGGCGGCUAUUUAAGUGGUCUGUGAAAGCGUCCGGCUCAACUGGACGAGGCCGGAUCAGACUGGAUGGCUAGAGGGUCAGAGAGGCAGGCGGAAUUCCGGGUGUAGUGGUGAAAUGCGUAGAGAUCCGGAGGAACACCAGUGGCGAAGGCGGCCUGCUGGCUGACAACUGACGCUGAGGCGCGAAAGCAUGGGGAGCGAACGGGAUUAGAAACCCCGGUAGUCCAUGCCGUAAACGAUGUCAACUAAGUGUUUGGGAAGCGAAAGCUUCCUGAGUGCUGAAGCAAACGCAUGAAGUUGACCGCCUGGGGAGUACGAUCGCAAGGUUA